AGCUAUAGCGCAAGUGAAGAGAAAGCUAUAUGCGUUAAAAACUGAACAAACAAAGCUUUUAACUAGUAGCAAAAUCACUACAGUACUGAACUCCGGAGAUUUAAUAGCAACCCACAGAGCACACUUGGCUACCCUUCAGAAUACUCUACGAAAGCAGCAUAUCAAGAAAUUACAAUGGUUGUUUAAGAUGCAACUGCCAGAUAAGAGGCCAACGAACUCUUUUGACCUCCAAGAAGUCCUUACAUUAAUUGGCGACAUUCGAAUUCCUAAGCAAAUGGAACAGCUCCUAAAGAAAGGUCCGUCUUAUGCGCUCAAGCCGCUAAUAAACCCGAUGAAUGUCAUACCGACUAUUGAGAGAGUUUUGGGAGGUGUGGAGGGAUUGGAGGGGGAACGAGCU
Molecule: long non-coding RNA, 397 nt
Filed under: Androctonus crassicauda
Lineage: Eukaryota; Metazoa; Arthropoda; Arachnida; Scorpiones; Buthidae
Source: RNAcentral